AAGCAUAGGAUGUCUGCUACCUUGAUUAUACUCCAAAUGCCACCCGAAUCAGUUAUCCAUAUGGUCUACUCAUACUUGGAUCUUCACUAAAAAUGCACAUAAUGGGUGAGUACGGAAUGCUUAAACUCAGUUGGUAUCAUAGACCAACAGUGUAACGUAGAAUAUAAAACAUAUAAAUACAAACUAUAGGCACGGCACAUGCAAC
RNAcentral lists this long non-coding RNA (205 nucleotides) under Capsicum annuum. RNAcentral's name for it is "long non-coding RNA (CANN_LNC017270)". Lineage: Eukaryota; Viridiplantae; Streptophyta; Magnoliopsida; Solanales; Solanaceae. The record is from RNAcentral.